CCUACGGGAGGCUGCAGUGAGGAAUAUUGGUCAAUGGGCUUACGCCUGAACCAGCCAAGUCGCGUGAGGGAAGACUGCCCUAUGUGUUGUAAACCUCUUUUGUCAGGGAGCAAUUGGCGCUACGUGUAGCGUUAUCGAGAGUACCUGAAGAAAAAGCAUCGGCUAACUCCGUGCCAGCAGCCGCGGUAUUACGGGGGAUGCGAGCUUUAUCGGGAUUUAUUGGGUUUAAAGGGUGCGUAGGCGGAAUGCCAAGUCAGCGGUAAAAUCGCGGGGCUCAACCUCGCUCCGCCGUUGAAACUGGCGUUCUUGAGUGGGCGAGAGGUAUGCGGAAGUCCUAGUGUAGCGGUGAAAUGCAUAGAUAUUAGGAGGAACACCAGUGGCGAAGGCGGCUUGCUGGACUGAAACUGACGCUGAGGCUCGAAAGCGUGGGGAGCAAACAGGAUUAGAUACCCCAGUAGUC
This 460-nucleotide ribosomal RNA is filed under the name uncultured bacterium. RNAcentral's name for it is "partial 16S ribosomal RNA". It matches the Rfam family "Bacterial small subunit ribosomal RNA", at positions 338 to 795 of the family's 1533-position model. The record is from RNAcentral.